AGCGAACGCUGGCGUCAGGCCUAACACAUGCAAGUCGAACGAACCUUUCGGGGUUAGUGGCGGACGGGUGAGUAACACGUGGGAACGUGCCUUUAGGUUCGGAAUAACUCAGGGAAACUUGUGCUAAUACCGAAUGUGCCCUUCGGGGGAAAGAUUUAUCGCCUUUAGAGCGGCCCGCGUCUGAUUAGCUAGUUGGUUGAGGUAAUGGCUCACCAAGGCGACGAUCAGUAGCUGGUCUGAGAGGAUGAUCAGCCACAUUGGGACUGAGACACGGCCCAAACUCCUACGGGAGGCAGCAGUGGGGAAUCUUGCGCAAUGGGCGAAAGCCUGACGCAGCCAUGCCGCGUGAAUGAUGAAGGUCUUAGGAUUGUAAAAUUCUUUCACCGGGGACGAUAAUGACGGUACCCGGAGAAGAAGCCCCGGCUAACUUCGUG
Molecule: ribosomal RNA, 434 nt
Filed under: uncultured bacterium
Lineage: Bacteria
Description: partial 16S ribosomal RNA
Rfam family: Bacterial small subunit ribosomal RNA
Source: RNAcentral